Molecule: ribosomal RNA, 510 nt
Filed under: uncultured bacterium
Lineage: Bacteria
Description: partial 16S ribosomal RNA
Rfam family: Bacterial small subunit ribosomal RNA
Source: RNAcentral
GACGAACGCUGGCGGCGUGCUUAACACAUGCAAGUCGAACGAAGAGCGAUGGAAGCUUGCUUCUAUCAAUCUUAGUGGCGAACGGGUGAGUAACGCGUAAUCAACCUGCCCUUCAGAGGGGGACAACAGUUGGAAACGACUGCUAAUACCGCAUACGAUCUAACCUCGGCAUCGAGGAUAGAUGAAAGGUGGCCUCUACAUGUAAGCUAUCACUGAAGGAGGGGAUUGCGUCUGAUUAGCUAGUUGGAGGGGUAACGGCCCACCAAGGCGAUGAUCAGUAGCCGGUCUGAGAGGAUGAACGGCCACAUUGGGACUGAGACACGGCCCAGACUCCUACGGGAGGCAGCAGUGGGGAAUCUUCCGCAAUGGACGAAAGUCUGACGGAGCAACGCCGCGUGAGUGAUGGCGGCCUUCGGGUUGUAAAGCUCUGUUAAUCGGGACGAAAGGCCUUCUUGCGAAUAGUUAGAAGGAUUGACGGUACCGGAAUAGAAAGCCACGGCUAACUACGUG